RNAcentral lists this ribosomal RNA (464 nucleotides) under uncultured bacterium. RNAcentral's name for it is "SSU rRNA". It matches the Rfam family "Bacterial small subunit ribosomal RNA", at positions 26 to 518 of the family's 1533-position model. The record is from RNAcentral.
AGGAUUAACGCUGGCGGCGUGCCUAACACAUGCAAGUCGAACGAGGUAGCAAUACCUAGUGGCAGACGGGUGAGUAACGCGUGGUCAACCUACCGUUGAGUGGGGGAUAACUAGCCGAAAGGUUAGCUAAUACCGCAUACGUCUCCGAGGGGCAUCCCUUGGCGAUAAAAGGAGCAAUCCGCUCGAUGACGGGACCGCGUCCCAUUAGCUAGAUGGUGGGGUAACGGCCUACCAUGGCACCGAUGGGUAGCUGGUUUGAGAGAGCGACCAGCCACACUGGGACUGAGAAACGGCCCAGACUCCUACGGGAGGCAGCAGUGAGGAAUUUUCCGCAAUGGGCGCAAGCCUGACGGAGCGACGCCGCGUGUGGGAAGAAGGCCUUCGGGUCGUAAACCACUGUCGAAGGGGAAGAUAUUGACGGUACCCUUGGAGGAAGCCCCGGCUAACUACGUGCCAGCAGCCGC